Molecule: long non-coding RNA, 1163 nt
Organism: Mauremys mutica (yellowpond turtle)
Lineage: Eukaryota; Metazoa; Chordata; Testudines; Geoemydidae
Exons: 3
Source: RefSeq, a predicted model, not a curated record
GCCCUGGACACUGAAGAUUAGGCUGGGGCCGCUGCCCAGAGCUUCCCCACCCCUCGAAGUUGGAAUCAGUCACAGGGCGCUUGCAGCGGUGUGCACGUGUCAACUUGUCUGUUCUGUGCUGCGAUUGGCUCCUUCCCGAUUCUGCCUCGUGACGCCACCCGGAGACGCUAGCAGCCCAGCCCCUAUAUAAACCCAGCGAACGUUCCCUGCAGUGCCUCAGUCUCGCUUUGUGGCUGUUCCUCCGUGAGGGUCUCGGCUAUUUUCUGCUCUCCCUUCUCGGUCCAUCUCCACCCAUCUUCUCAGAGACUGAAGUGACAGAAGGAGAGGUGUGGAAGCAAACAGAUCAUCUGACUAACAAGGCACCAGGCCUAGAUGAUCUAUACAAGAGUUCUGGAAGAGCUCAGCUGAAUGGAGACCUCUGCUCAGUGAGUGGCUGCGGUCAGAAAAACAAAAAAGAUGUUGGGAAGCAUAAGGAAUGGGAUGGAGAAGAAACUGAAAAUGUUACAUAAAUCCAUGGUACAGCCUCACAUGGAGUGUGAAAGUCUGGUCACCAUCUCCAAAACCUAUGAAGAAAGACAUGCCCUAAACUAACAAUGCCCAUCUUUUCAGUCUAUCUUACCGGUGCUACAUACUAACAACCGAGCAAUGUUGGUCUCAGUUUGAAGUGGAGACCAGGCCCUAGAGGAGACAGUUCAAGUAGGAGUUGCUAAAAGCGUUUCACAAAUGUGGCCACUGGCGACCACCAUGGGCUUUGCAUGUGGUUACAGCCUCCUGAGUGGUGAUUGCCAGGGGAGAGGGGAGGGGCUGCAAAACUAUGAUUUUACAAAAUACGAUUUAUUUUCACAAAAAUAGACGUACUAGCUAUCAAGUCUCUUUUAAAAAAUAAAGCAAUCAAAACAAGAUGACAAAAAACAUGCAAAGCACAUUAUUUGUUUCUGUUCUGUUUAGUCCAGUAAAGAAUAGCGACAACUGUACAUAAUUUUUAUUACCGAGUCUGCAAUAAAAAUGUACAUAGACAUACCCAAAUCAUAAUUUAUGAGCAUAUUUAUUUUUUCCUAAUGUUAAUUAAGUGUUUUAGGAAAUAUUGCCAGAUUGGCCAACAGCAAGAGUUGGUGGCGGCACUCUGAGGCCACCAAAAAGUUUCAUGUGAGAUCCUACUCGAG